UACGUAGGCAGCGAGCGUUGUUCGGAGUUACUGGGCGUAAAGGGUGUGUAGGCGGUUCUCUAAGUCUGGUGUGAAAUCUCCCGGCUCAACUGGGAGGGUGCGCCGAAAACUGGAGGGCUAGAGUGCGGGAUGGGUAAGUGGAAUUCCUGGUGUAGCGGUGAAAUGCGUAGAGAUCGGCAGGAACACCCAGGGGGAAACCAGUCGACUGGGCAUCUACUGACGCUGAGGUGCGAGAGCGUGGGGAGCGAACCGG
RNAcentral lists this ribosomal RNA (253 nucleotides) under uncultured bacterium. Its description in RNAcentral is "partial 16S ribosomal RNA". It matches the Rfam family "Bacterial small subunit ribosomal RNA", at positions 524 to 776 of the family's 1533-position model. The record is from RNAcentral.